UGAGAGUUUGAUCCUGGCUCAGGACGAACGCUGGCGGCGUGCCUAAUACAUGCAAGUAGAACGCUGAAGAGAGGAGCUUGCUCUUCUUGGAUGAGUUGCGAACGGGUGAGUAACGCGUAGGUAACCUGCCUUGUAGCGGGGGAUAACUAUUGGAAACGAUAGCUAAUACCGCAUAACAAUGGAUGACACAUGUCAUUUAUUUGAAAGGGGCAAUUGCUCCACUACAAGAUGGACCUGCGUUGUAUUAGCUAGUAGGUGAGGUAAUGGCUCACCUAGGCGACGAUACAUAGCCGACCU
This 297-nucleotide ribosomal RNA is filed under the name Streptococcus thermophilus. Its description in RNAcentral is "partial 16S ribosomal RNA". It matches the Rfam family "Bacterial small subunit ribosomal RNA", at positions 1 to 293 of the family's 1533-position model. The record is from RNAcentral. Lineage: Bacteria; Bacillati; Bacillota; Bacilli; Lactobacillales; Streptococcaceae.